This 983-nucleotide ribosomal RNA is filed under the name uncultured bacterium. RNAcentral's name for it is "bacterial SSU rRNA". It matches the Rfam family "Bacterial small subunit ribosomal RNA", at positions 510 to 1503 of the family's 1533-position model. The record is from RNAcentral.
AGCAGCCGCGGUAAUACGGAGGUGGCAAGCGUUACUCGGAAUCAUUGGGUGUAAGGGGCAAGUAGGCGGUCUAAUAAGUGAGGGGUGAAAUCCUGCGACUCAAUCGCAGAACUGCCUUUCAAACUGCUAGACUUGAGGUAAGAAGAGGAAAAUGGAAUUCUCGGUGUAAGGGUGAAAUCUGUAGAUAUCGAGAAGAACACCAACGGCGAAGGCAAUUUUCUACUCUUAUCCUGACGCUAAAUUGCGAAAGCUAGGGGAGCAAACAGAAUUAGAUACUCUGGUAGUCCUAGCCGUAAACGAUGAGCACUAGGUGUUGGUUCCUUUGGGACCAGUGCCGCAGCCAACGCAUUAAGUGCUCCACCUGGGGACUACGGUCGCAAGGCUAAAACUCAAAGAAAUUGACGGGGGCCCGCACAAGCGGUGGAGUAUGUGGCUUAAUUCGAUGCAACGCGAAGAACCUUACCAGGGUUUGACAUGCACUGUGUCGGCGAUGAAAGUCGCCUAGCUGUAGCAAUACAGCGCUUUGCACAGGUGCUGCAUGGCUGUCGUCAGCUCGUGUCGUGAGAUGUUGGGUUAAGUCCCGCAACGAGCGCAACCCCUGUGUCCUGUUGCCACCCCUUAAUUGGGAGCACUCUGGACAGACUGCCCUGUGAAACGGGGAGGAAGGUGGGGAUGACGUCAAGUCAGCAUGGCCCUUACACCCUGGGCUGCACACGUACUACAAUGCUCAGUACAAUACGAGCCGAAGCCGCGAGGCGAAGGAAAUCUCGAAAACUGAGCCCAAUUCGGAUCGCAGGCUGCAACUCGCCUGCGUGAAGCCGGAAUCGCUAGUAAUGGCGCAUCAGCUACGGCGCCGUGAAUACGUUCCCGGGCCUUGUACACACCGCCCGUCACAUCAUGGGAGUCACUUGCACCCGAAGUACACAUUCGUGUGUCCUACGGUAUGAGUGGUAACUGGGAUGAAGUCGUAACAAGGUAGCCGU